GUGCCAGCAGCCGCGGUAAUACGGAGGGUGCAAGCGUUAUCCGGAAUCACUGGGUUUAAAGGGUGCGUAGGCGGUUUGAUAAGUCAGUUGUGAAAUACCCCGGCUUAACCGGCGGUCGUGCGAUUGAUACUGUUGGACUUGAAUCAGGUUGAGGUAGGCGGAAUGUGGCAUGUAGCGGUGAAAUGCAUAGAUAUGCCAUAGAACACCGAUUGCGAAGGCAGCUUGCUGGACCUAGAUUGACGCUGAGGCACGAAAGCGUGGGGAGCAAACAGGAUUAGAAACCCCUGUAGUCC
This 293-nucleotide ribosomal RNA is filed under the name uncultured bacterium. Its description in RNAcentral is "partial 16S ribosomal RNA". It matches the Rfam family "Bacterial small subunit ribosomal RNA", at positions 505 to 796 of the family's 1533-position model. The record is from RNAcentral.